UACGUAGGGUGCGAGCGUUGUCCGGAAUUACUGGGCGUAAAGAGCUCGUAGGUGGUUUGUCGCGUUGUUCGUGAAAUCCCACGGCUUAACUGUGGGCGUGCGGGCGAUACGGGCAGACUGGAGUACUGCAGGGGAGACCGGAAUUCCUGGUGUAGCGGUGGAAUGCGCAGAUAUCAGGAGGAACACCGGUGGCGAAGGCGGGUCUCUGGGCAGUAACUGACGCUGAGGAGCGAAAGCGUGGGGAGCGAACAGG
Molecule: ribosomal RNA, 253 nt
Filed under: uncultured bacterium
Lineage: Bacteria
Description: partial 16S ribosomal RNA
Rfam family: Bacterial small subunit ribosomal RNA
Source: RNAcentral